AUACGUAGGGGGCGAGCGUUGUCCGGAAUGAUUGGGCGUAAAGGGCGCGUAGGCGGCCCGGUAAGUCUGGAGUGAAAGUCCUGCUUUUAAGGUGGGAAUUGCUUUGGAUACUGUCGGGCUUGAGUGCUGGAGGGGAUAGCGGAAUUCCUAGUGGAGCGGUAAAAUGCGCAGAUAUUAGGAAGAACACCGGUGGCGAAGGCGGCUAUCUGGACAGUAACUGACGCUGAGGCGCGAAAGCGUGGGGAGCAAACAGGAUUAGAUACCCUGGUAGACCACGCCGUAAACGAUGAAUACUAGGUGUAGGGGGUAUCGACUCCCUCUGUGCCGCAGUUAACACAAUAAGUAUUCCGCCUGGGGAGUACGGCCGCAAGGUUGAAACUUAAAGGAAUUGACGGGG
RNAcentral lists this ribosomal RNA (397 nucleotides) under uncultured bacterium. Its description in RNAcentral is "partial 16S ribosomal RNA". It matches the Rfam family "Bacterial small subunit ribosomal RNA", at positions 523 to 918 of the family's 1533-position model. The record is from RNAcentral.